UUAAAUAUUUUAUGCACAGGUGCCGAUUAGUUUUGGCUAAAAAGGGAAGCAGGUGUAAAUCCUGCACGGUCCCGCCGCUGUAAUGGGAAGAUACUGUAAAUUUGCCACUGAGUUUUUUGGGAAGGCUACAGUAUCCAUGAACCUAAGUCAGAAGACCUGCCUGUGCUAAACACCUUAC
This 178-nucleotide non-coding RNA is filed under the name Tepidanaerobacter syntrophicus. The record is from RNAcentral. Lineage: Bacteria; Bacillati; Bacillota; Clostridia; Thermosediminibacterales; Tepidanaerobacteraceae.